UCUGGCGUUGUUGACCUGGAUGUACUGAAGAAAAUUGCUAAGAUUACGAAUUGAUUGCUAAUCGAAGCGACCGACGCCACAGCCUGCUCUGCUGGUCCAUGCGCACGGUACGCGCGCAAACAUGGCGAGCUCUCGCCGGCUCGAUUGAGAUAGGGUGCACAUCGACGAGACGUACGAGGUGCGAGCGGGAGGCGCCCCACGGAGCGGAACGGAGGCCACACCCGACGGCCCGCCGCCGCGGCGCGGCGCGCCGACGAGUUAGCCGAAAGCUACCUAGGCAGGGGCAAGGGCGCCGGCGCACUCGGUUU
This 308-nucleotide long non-coding RNA is filed under the name Setaria italica (foxtail millet). Its description in RNAcentral is "long non-coding RNA (SITA_LNC004025)". The record is from RNAcentral. Lineage: Eukaryota; Viridiplantae; Streptophyta; Magnoliopsida; Poales; Poaceae.